RNAcentral lists this ribosomal RNA (170 nucleotides) under uncultured bacterium. RNAcentral describes it as "partial 16S ribosomal RNA". It matches the Rfam family "Bacterial small subunit ribosomal RNA", at positions 354 to 524 of the family's 1533-position model. The record is from RNAcentral.
UGUGGUAAUAUUGCGCAAUGGRSGAAACUCUGACGCASCGACGCCGCGUGAAGGAUGAAGGCYCUUUGAKUCGUAAACUUCUGUAGAGAGGGAAGAAUGUCCCGUUCUUCGGGAUUGACGGUACCUCUAAAGUAAGGAUCGGCCAACUACGUGCCAGCCGCCGCGGUAAA